UACGUAGGCAGCAAGCGUUGUUCGGAGUUACUGGGCGUAAAGGGUGCGUAGGUGGCUCUAUAAGUAUGGUGUGAAAUCUCCCGGCUUAACUGGGAGGGUGCGCCGUAGACUGUGGGGCUAGAGUGUGGGAGAGGAAAGUGGAAUUCCUGGUGUAGCGGUGAAAUGCGUAGAUAUCAGGAGGAACACCUGUGGCGAAAGCGGCUCACUGGACCACAACUGACGCUGAGGCGCGAAAGCUAGGGGAGCAAACAGG
Molecule: ribosomal RNA, 253 nt
Filed under: uncultured bacterium
Lineage: Bacteria
Description: partial 16S ribosomal RNA
Rfam family: Bacterial small subunit ribosomal RNA
Source: RNAcentral